Molecule: small RNA, 118 nt
Filed under: Arabidopsis thaliana (thale cress)
Lineage: Eukaryota; Viridiplantae; Streptophyta; Magnoliopsida; Brassicales; Brassicaceae
Description: ATSL018400
Source: RNAcentral
UACGGAAACACCUUCACUCUCCAGGAAGCGUCGAGCAGCUUAUGUGGCGGCUACAUCUUCUAGAGAUGUUAACGAUACCGCCGCUGAUUCUUCUCAGAAACUCACCAAAUUCGUCACC